RNAcentral lists this non-coding RNA (27 nucleotides) under Bombyx mori (domestic silkworm). Lineage: Eukaryota; Metazoa; Arthropoda; Insecta; Lepidoptera; Bombycidae. The record is from RNAcentral.
GGCAAUGAAUGCAUCAUACGGAGUCGC